This 789-nucleotide small RNA is filed under the name Pongo abelii (Sumatran orangutan). RNAcentral describes it as "retained intron". The record is from RNAcentral. Lineage: Eukaryota; Metazoa; Chordata; Mammalia; Primates; Hominidae.
GGUAAUAGUGCUGUGCUGCGGAAGAGUGGAGUCUAAACUUUUUCAUUGCCAGUGCCCCGAAACUGGAGUGUGAAGGACCGAGACAAGAUGAAGACUGUGCUCAUGGUUGCCGAAAAGCCGUCCUUGGCACAGUCAAUUGCCAAAAUCCUCUCUAGAGGGAGCCUGUCCUCACACAAAGGGCUGAACGGGGCCUGCUCAGUCCACGAGUACACUGGGACCUUUGCUGGCCAGCCAGUGCGCUUCAAGAUGACGUCUGUCUGUGGUCACGUGAUGACCCUGGAUUUCCUGGGAAAAUACAACAAAUGGGACAAAGUGGACCCUGCAGAACUGUUCAGCCAAGCUCCCACGGAGAAGAAAGAAGCUAACCCCAAGCUGAACAUGGUGAAGUUCCUGCAGGUGCGUGGGGCUGGCCUGGGCAUGAGCACACCAGGGCUCCCCACCCUCCACAGCUGCCAUGUCCUUGCCCACCCUUGCUUGAGUCCUAAUCCCCCUUGGACAGGGGGGCCUUUGCUAGCUCUUUCUGUGAGUGCCCCCUGCUGGACCAGGAGGCACUGCAGGCACCCCCCAACACACAAGGCAGUUGCCAUUGCCAACCCUCAGUCCUGGAGAGCAGGCCUUCUGCUUUUAAAAUAGCUUUUUUGGUCGGGGGUUUUUUCUCCUUAAUUUUAAAACAAAUGCAUACAGAUUAUGGAAAAUUAGAAAGUGCAGAUAAGUAGAAAGACAAACAAAUUAUUCAUAAUCAUAUUACCCAAGACAACUGCUAUUAUCAUUUAGGGUUAUUUCAUUGUA